UAAUAAGUGUUUUAUGGCGCUUUUUAAAUCCAUAUCCACCUUGUGUGCAAUGUCAGUCGAUCUUCUUCAUGGAGAUCGACCAAACAUCAACCUUUAUCUUUUAACUCUUUGUCUGAAAAAUAUUAUGAAUAAACAAUUCAAAAUA
Molecule: unclassified non-coding RNA, 145 nt
Filed under: soil metagenome
Description: partial internal transcribed spacer 1
Source: RNAcentral